RNAcentral lists this transfer RNA (73 nucleotides) under Hyphomonadaceae bacterium. RNAcentral's name for it is "tRNA-Thr". It matches the Rfam family "tRNA". Rfam says of the family: Transfer RNA (tRNA) molecules are approximately 80 nucleotides in length. Their secondary structure includes four short double-helical elements and three loops (D, anti-codon, and T loops). The record is from RNAcentral. Lineage: Bacteria; Pseudomonadati; Pseudomonadota; Alphaproteobacteria; Hyphomonadales; Hyphomonadaceae.
GCCGCCAUAGCUCAGUUGGUAGAGCAGCUGAUUUGUAAUCAGAAGGUCGGGGGUUCGAGUCCCUCUGGCGGCA